UACGUAGGGUGCGAGCGUUGUCCGGAAUUAUUGGGCGUAAAGAGCUCGUAGGCGGUGUGUCGCGUCGGCCGUGAAAACCUGGGGCUCAACUCUGGGCGUGCGGUCGAUACGGGCAUCACUUGAGUUCGGCAGGGAAGACUGGAAUUCCUGGUGUAGCGGUGAAAUGCGCAGAUAUCAGGAGGAACACCGGUGGCGAAGGCGGGUCUCUGGGCCGAUACUGACGCUGAGGAGCGAAAGCGUGGGGAGCGAACAGG
RNAcentral lists this ribosomal RNA (254 nucleotides) under uncultured bacterium. Its description in RNAcentral is "partial 16S ribosomal RNA". It matches the Rfam family "Bacterial small subunit ribosomal RNA", at positions 524 to 776 of the family's 1533-position model. The record is from RNAcentral.